Molecule: long non-coding RNA, 329 nt
Filed under: Brassica napus (rape)
Lineage: Eukaryota; Viridiplantae; Streptophyta; Magnoliopsida; Brassicales; Brassicaceae
Description: long non-coding RNA (BNAP_LNC015466)
Source: RNAcentral
UAGAGGAUACUGAAGUGCAAGAUAUGAAACAUGUAUCUCAUUAAUCCUCAUACGUCUCCCCUAAUGCUUCUGAAGUACAAUCUCUUUUAUCCAUAUCAAGAUUGAAAUCUCCAGGAAUUAGUGCAGCAACUUUAGAUGCUGUGGGUGUAUUGUAUGUCCUUCCAUCUUUAAGACGAUCACUAACAAUCCUCAUAUGGAAAGUAUCUUCUGGGUUAGUAUUAAACCGAUCUCUUGCUGAUCUAAACUGCUUCACAUAUGGAUUCACUUCAUUUAACAUCUUUAUCAAAAUCUCAAUGAUCUCUUUCUUCAAUCCAUCUUUCUUUUUCCCU